This 394-nucleotide ribosomal RNA is filed under the name uncultured microorganism. RNAcentral describes it as "bacterial SSU rRNA". It matches the Rfam family "Archaeal small subunit ribosomal RNA", at positions 330 to 731 of the family's 1478-position model. The record is from RNAcentral.
GCGCACCAGUCGCGAAACUUUACAAUGUGCGAAAGCACGAUAAGGGAACUCUGAGUGCCUCCUAAGGAGGCUGUUCUGAUGGCUAAAAGCAACAGAAGUAAGGGCUGGGUAAGACCGGUGCCAGCCGCCGCGGUAACACCGGCAGCCCAAGUGGUAGCCACGUUUAUUGGGUCUAAAGCGUUCGGAGCCGGCCAGGUAAGUUCCUUGGUAAAUUUAGCCGCUUAACGGUUAAGCUUUCAGGGAAUACUGCUUGGCUUGGGACUGGGAGAGGUCAGAGGUACUCCGGGGGUAGGGUGAAAUCUAUUAAUCCCUGGGGGACCACCGGUAGCGAAGGCGUCUGACCAGACCCAGGUCCGACGGUGAGGGACGAAGGCUAGGGGCGCGAACCGGAUUA